CUAAACUUCAAGCCUCCAGUUCCUAUAGUCUUUUAGAUAAAGGUUAUGAUAGAAUCGUAUUCGAUAGCAAAAUGGUGGACAAUCCUAUGUAACUGCUAAGAAACACUUACUUGUGCGUCAACGCAUUGUUGUGUAUGCCAACCCAGAACUUUGGAAAGUAGUUGAAAUGCAGCGGAGUCGACUCAAUAGCAACAAGGCAGUGUAACUUUACUAGUGUAUCGUUGAGAGAACCCAUGUUGACACACAUUCGAAGCAUGACAUCGAUGAAGUCGUGAUAUGGUCUGUAGAAGCUAUCGACAAGUGCAUCAUACUCCACAUCAAGACCUCGUGGGGUCAACUCAGCUAGCGCAAUGCACAUUUGUACCAUGGGUCGAGGAGGACGCGGUGAAUUCUUAGCACCUUGGGGCCAGGGUGUCUGCUUGGCUCCCCGACGUGGGAAGUAUGGACCCAAUGGACCAAUUGCAUUAGGUGCGUUUGCUACUGACAGAUGACAGUUGAUCAAAAUGGGUGCCAAUAUGCUAGUUGCCUCGAGAGUAGUGUUGCGCACCAGCUCCUUGAGCACCUCCAGUGCCAUUCGACUGAUCUCGGGUGAGUUGAAUGUGUUAAGCAAGGUGGCCAAGCGCUUGAUGGCAUCUGGAAGGGCCUUUGCUAAUGCAGAGAGCUGAUGCUGUUGGCGAAGAAAAUGCUGCUGCUGCAACUGCAUUUGCUGUAGUUGAAGGUGUUGCUGCAUUUGUUGCUGCAACUGCUUCUCUUUCUGCUGUGGCGUCUGCGGUGCUUGGGUGCACUGUGCCUGCUGUUGUUUCUGCAUCAGUUGUUGCUGUUGCAAUUGUAACUGCUGUUCCAACUGCUGAUGUUGUUGCUUCUUUUGUGCCGAAUUAUCUGUGCGCAUACGCAGUGUUGCUAAUAGUAGCACCAUCUCGCCAAGUAGGUCUAGGAGAUCUCCAGCCACAUGGCAUGCGGUGGCUUCGUGAUGCAUGGAAUGUAGAGUGUGCAGAGCCUCAAAACACAUUUCGAUGCCGCCGUUGAAAAUUACCAACAUCCUGUCAUCGUCAUUGUCCACUAUGUUAAGCAAUUCAAUUUUUAACAUUUUAAAAACAGUUAAGAAAGUAUUAUAGUCGAUCUUAUUUAUAAAAAAAAAAUUUUUAAUAGAGUCUUCUACUUGUUCUGAUAUUGAAUUCAAUUAAUCGUUGUUUAUGGAAUUUUAAUCCAUAUUUUUUUAAGGAAAGUAAUUUGCAAAAAUAAAAUAAAUCGAAUACAAAUAUCUAAUUUUCUAUAAAAUUAAAGUCUGGGGAAAAAAACAUUUAUUUUUCCUAAAAACUUUCGUUUUUGAAAAGUAGGUGUCGUACAGAAAGUUGUUAAGUUCCUUAAUGUUGCUUAGUGCAGUAUUGUCACUGCUUCGCUUACCGAGAAUUUUAAAUGCACUGAUGAGAGUUGACCAAGAGACCCGAGCAUCUAGACUGCUUGUGUAAGAAACAAUUACGGAGCGCCUAAAAGCGAUAACAUCCAGUUUCUCUUGUUCACUUGCAUCCGGAU
Long non-coding RNA from Drosophila albomicans, 1533 nucleotides. RefSeq lists it as uncharacterized. The transcript is spliced from 2 exons. The record is from RefSeq and is a predicted model, not a curated record. Lineage: Eukaryota; Metazoa; Arthropoda; Insecta; Diptera; Drosophilidae.